This 470-nucleotide ribosomal RNA is filed under the name uncultured bacterium. Its description in RNAcentral is "bacterial SSU rRNA". It matches the Rfam family "Bacterial small subunit ribosomal RNA", at positions 28 to 457 of the family's 1533-position model. The record is from RNAcentral.
GACGAACGCCGGCGGCGUGCUCACUACAUGCUACUCGAACGAGUUUGCUUUUAACUGAAGGCGGUGCUUGCACCAACUGAUUUAAAAAUAAACGAGUGGCGGACGGGUGAGUAACACGUGGGUAACCUACCCUAAAGUGGGGGAUAACAUUUGGAAACAGAUGCUAAUACCGCAUAAUAUUAAAAACCACAUGGUUUUUAAUUGAAAGACGGCGUAAGCUGUCACUUUCCGGAUGGACCCGCGGUGCAUUAGCUAGUUGGUCGAGGUAAUGGCUCACCAAGGCUGCGAUGCAUAGCCGACCUGAGAGGGUGAUCGGCCACACUGGGACUGAGACACGGACCAGACUCCUACGGGAGGCAGCAGUAGGGAAUCUUCCAAAAUGGACGAAAGUCUGACCGAGCAACGCCGCGAUGAGUUGAAGGAAGGUAUCCUCGGAUCGUAACAACAUCUGUAUAGUAUCAGAGAAGAAC